AGUGAACGCUAGCGGUAGGCCUAACACAUGCAAGUCGAACGGCAGCACAGUAAGAGCUUGCUCUUACGGGUGGCGAGUGGCGGACGGGUGAGGAAUACAUCGGAAUCUACUUUUUCGUGGGGGAUAACGUAGGGAAACUUACGCUAAUACCGCAUACGACCUACGGGUGAAAGCAGGGGAUCUUCGGACCUUGCGCGAUUGAAUGAGCCGAUGUCGGAUUAGCUAGUUGGCGGGGUAAAGGCCCACCAAGGCGACGAUCCGUAGCUGGUCUGAGAGGAUGAUCACCCACACUGGAACUGAGACACGGUCCAGACUCCUACGGGAGGCAGCAGUGGGGAAUAUUGGACAAUGGGCGCAAGCCUGAUCCAGCCAUACCGCGUGGGUGAAGAAGGCCUUCGGGUUGUAAAGCCCUUUUGUUGGGAAAGAAAAGCAGCAGGUUAAUACCCCGCUGUUCUGACGGUACCCAAAGAAUAAGCACCGGCUAACUUCGUG
RNAcentral lists this ribosomal RNA (492 nucleotides) under uncultured bacterium. RNAcentral describes it as "partial 16S ribosomal RNA". It matches the Rfam family "Bacterial small subunit ribosomal RNA", at positions 29 to 507 of the family's 1533-position model. The record is from RNAcentral.